AUUACUUUGGCAGAUUAGUGCAUUAAAUUUAGAAUUUAAAAUUAAAUAUAAGAUUUAUAAUAUAUAAGUAAUA
RNAcentral lists this transfer RNA (73 nucleotides) under Cardiocondyla obscurior. RNAcentral describes it as "tRNA-Leu". Lineage: Eukaryota; Metazoa; Arthropoda; Insecta; Hymenoptera; Formicidae. The record is from RNAcentral.